UCUCCCUCUCUCACAAAUCUUAAAAAAAAAAAAAAAAAAAAAAAAAAAAUUUAAAACAACUGCUACUCUCACUGAGCCUGGCACAGUUCUCUCCACUUUCCAGGGCUACUCUUGCCAAACUGCUUUUUAUUUUAUGAAUUGGAGAAAGAAGAGACAAACCUCUAAGACUGAAUUGGGCCUCAUUUAGUGUUGACUCAGUGCAGGAGUGCUACAUUUUCAUUACAAGUUCUCCAGACUAAAACUGAACAAACUGUUGGAAUAAAAAAAGAUGAUUUAACACUUCUGAUCCUGACCAAUUUGUGGCUUAGCUGGUUUGAGCGUAAUGUUAACUUUUUGCUUCUAUCACUAGCUGAUCUCUUGCAAGUGCUUGCCAUGGGCCAACAAGAGGACUAGAUGAAAUGCAUGGAAGCCUCAUAAAUUCUUGAUUUGUAUAAAUGGAAGAGUUAGUUCUAAGGUCAAGUGAACAAAAAUUUUAUUUGAAUCAAAAACAGAGAACCCUGGCCCCUCAAUCAGUUCCCAGACUUGAGCCAGUUUACAAACCCAGAACUCCUUGGAUGCAGGGGAGGCGUGGUCCCCUUGAGUGAGAACCCAAGUACACUGCCAAAAAAUUUAGAGUUAGCCUUUCUCCCAACCUUCACCCGAGGGACUGAUGGCCUUGGAGCAGCGCAGCUGGAGAGGAAACAGACCGUCAGGACUGCAUGGACGCUGAUCCCAGGAGAUCCCAGGCGUCACUGUGGCCCCUCCAGUCCAAGCAGGGUUCACGCAGGUCAGGUGCCUGGGGUGUUAGGUCUGUCUCACAGCUGGUUCUGUGGGCCCCCAAGCCAUCCCGUGGCUAUUGCCCCAGCUCGGGAAGUAUCUAAUUACAGUAGCUAUUCUCCGGAACUGUCAGUAUCCCCGCAUGGGUUCCCUACCUGUGGGGUGAGAGCUAUUACAGUGGAAGAGAUCGGCUGAAAGCCACUGGUAAAUCCAAGGCAGUCAGGCAGUGAGGAUUCUGGGAAGAUGGUGGAGCAGGAAGCACCAGGAAUCUGUCCCCCAGGGAGGCCACAAUUGCACUGGCAGAACCUGUCUGAUUUAACUAUUUGGAACUCAAGUCUGCUGAAGGCUUGCAGCUUGCCGGGGAAAGCUCGGACAGUACAUUUUAGCUCUUCACAGUGGCAGCUACCCAUCCCCACCCCCACCAUGGGAGCAUCUUGCACACAACUUACAGGAGCUAGGAUGGGUAAAAAGGACCCUGUCUUCCCAGUAUUGGGUAUCUGUGCUUUGCUGAUUGCUAGUUUUGAUCACAGAGGUGCAGGCAAAGAGGCAGGCAGUCAUCUGGUUGCAUCUCCUCCGCUGCUGCCAUCGCUUCACCCUCCAGCUGAAGUGACUUUCAAGAGAUUUAAAGGGCCAGGACUCACCACCACCCCCACCCCCUACCCACCCCUACCCCAACCUCACUUUUGCUUUUCCCCUUUUGGGAGCCAGACAUUAAAGAGGACAUUAAAAAAACAGCUGCAUGUACAAGGAAAAUGAGAAAGUGGCCAUGAAUGCCCAAGGAAAGGCUCUAGAAGAGACAUAAGAAGACACUGUUUAUACCUCAGGAUGAUCUCUACACAGAACCUACAAUAAUAAAAACAACAAAAAAUAGCAAACCCUGGGGAAGAGGGAGAAUCCGAUUUCCACAGUUGCACAUUUUAGAUUCAAAUGUCCAGUGUUUCACAAAAUAUCACAAGAUACACAAACAGGAAAGUAUGACCCAUUCAGAGGAAAAAAUUUCAGCAGAGUCUGUCUGUGAGAAAGAUUUAAUGGCAGAUCUAUUAGACAAACAUUCUAGAACAAUGGUCCUAAAGGUGGAGAAAGUCAAGAAAAGGGUGUAUGGACAAAAUGGAAAUACCAACAAGAUGACUGAAAACCUAAAAAGAAAUUCUAGAGCUGAAAAUACCACAACUGAAAUGAAAAAUUCACUAGGGGGAUUCAAAGGCAGAUUUGAGCAGACAGAAGAUUUCCUGAACUUGAAGAUAGGACAGUGGCAAUUAUCCAGGUUGAGGAACAGAAAGAAAAAAGAUUGAAGAAAAGCGAGCAGAACCUAAAGGGACCUGUGAGACACAAUCAAGUAGACCAACAUAUACAUUGUAGGCAUCCCGGAAGGAGCCCGAAGAAAGAGAAAAAGGGGCAGAGCGAAUAUCUGAAGAAAUAAAAGGCUGAAAACUUUCCAAACUUGAGGAAAGACAUGAGUAUAAACAUCCAAGAAGUUCAACAAACUCCAAGUAGUAUGAACUCAAGAGACCCACCCUGAGACCCAUUAUAAUCAAACAUUUAAAAGACAAAGACAAAGAAUGAAUCUUGAAAGCAGCAACAGAGAAGAAAAUCAUCAUAUAAAAGGUAUCCUCCAUGAGAAUAUGUACAGAUUUCUUAUCAAAAUUUGUAGGCAGAAGAUACUGGGUCAAUGCAUUAAGAGUGCUAAAAGAAAAAAAACAAACCAUUAACCAAGAAUCCUGUAUCUGGCAAAACUGUCCUUCAAAAGUGAGAGAGAAAUCAAGACGUUCCCAGAAUAAACAGAAGCUGAGUGAGUUCGUGACCACUAGAUGUGCCCCACAGUAAGUGCUCAACGGAGUCCUGCAGGGAAAAAUGAACGGACACUAGACACUACCUCAAUGCCGUAUGGAGAAAUGAGUAUCUUCAAAAGGUAAGUAUAUGGGCAAUUAUAAAAGCUAGUAUUAUUGUAACAAUGGUUUGUAACUACUUUUUUCUUAGCUAAGUGAUUUAAGAGACUAUGACAUAUAAAGAAAAAAAUAUUACUGUAAAACCAGUAUUACUGUAACUUGGCUUUGUAACUCCAAAUCUUGUUUUCUACAUUACUUAGGAGACUAAUGCAUUUUUAAAAAGUAUGUUUUGGGACACACAAGGUAUAAAGAUGUAAUUUUGUGUCAUCAACAACCUAAAGGGGGAGGGGACGGAGUUGUAAAGGAGCAGUUUUUCUGUUACAGAAGUUGCACUGCUACAAAUUCAAAUUAGAGUGUUCUAACUUUACGAUGUUGAUUCCCAUGGUAACCACAAAGAAAACUGCCAUAGAUUACAUGCAAAAGGAAAUUAAGAAGGAAUUCAAACAUUUCACUUAAAAAAAUCAACUAUAAGCAAGAGACAAAUACAGGAAUGAGGAAAAAAUAUAGACAUUCCACGUGCUCUAUAAGCUAUAGGACAUAGAAAACAAAUAGCACAAUGUCUCAUCUAGUGGAUGAGAUGGAGACUUUCCACCUUAGCAAGAAAGAAUAGGAUGAUGAACCGUGGCCUGAGGACCAUUCAUGAGCCCCCUUAUAGGAAGAAAAAGGAGGGGGAGGGAGCCCAGGCCCCCAGAAGGCCUUGCUGCUGGGAAGGGGGCUCUUCUCUUCUGCCAGACACAGCUGGCUCUGCUGACCAUCGGAGGUUCACAGCCAGCAGGGUGAGGCAGGUGGGAAUUGAAAGGCACCACAUUACAGGCACUCAAUACAUACUAGCUGAAUACAUGAGUGAAUGGCCUUUCUACACACAUGCAAGUGAAAGGCUACCAGGAACCUGAUGCAGGCCAGCUGAGUUCCUUUAUGCAUGUACUGUGACCAUGCCAAGCCAACCUCUUCCAAACAGCCUUGUUUGCUCCUGCUUGAAACAGGGUGCCCAAGCAAGGUCACCUGCUCUUCCUGGUGAAAAAAAGCAGGAGCAGCGAGCACAGAAACCAGCUGGGCCUUGGGUACUGUUUGCAGUUACAGAACUGCAGGAGGAGCCCAUGACCUCUCUCCUACCCUACAUUCUGUAUGAGGCUAGAAGCCAGGCUCCCUCUCCAUGCAAGGACUUCCACCACUUGGCCAUCACCAAAAGUGCAGUAAGGCACUGGCAAAGCUAAGGACCUACCUUCUUGGACUGUAUAGCUUUCAUCCUUGAUGAGCACACACUUACUCGCUUGCUGGGGAUCAUGAGCACAGGGGUUGAGAGCCUGGGCUGUGAAGUGAGACAAACCUACAUUAGCACCUGCCUCCCUUGCUUAGUGUGUGCAUGUGUGUGCAUGCCUGAAGAUGAACUUGAGCAAGCUAUUAUCCUCAUGUGCAAAAUGGGGCGGACUUGUAGGACCUACCUCAUAAGGUUAUUAUGGAAUAAGACAGCAUAAAGUGCUCAGAGCACUAGUCAAAUUCCUGGCACACUGAACAUACUUCAUAAAUAUUGAAUGCCAUUGUUACCUUAUGCUCUGAUUGAAUCAUGCUAAUGAGAAUUUUGACGACUGGCAGGAAAAGUAAUAGUAAAAGAUUAAAAUUUUAUGGCUUACCUCUUCUUGGCAAUGAGUUGAGGGCCUUUUAGGUCUGCUUCCCAGAAACAAGAUGAAUGACUCCAACUGAAUAACAAACCCUUUUAAAAGUUGGGUCUUUGUUUUUUCAGUAAGAUUGAAAGUUAUAAGAUGGUAAAAUCCUUACAAGUAAUUUCUGAUUACAGAUAACUUGAACAUUUGGCAUAUAACGCGAAAGAAAUUUAAAGAAUUAGGUGGCAUUCCUAUGACAAGACCCCUCUGGUCCCUAAUUACAUCAAUGUGGUCUCAGCAAUGAGACCAAUAAAAAUGAAAACUGGAAUAGGACUGUCCAGAUCAUCUCAUUCUAUCAGUACAAAGUAUUCAUUCACUUCGCCCGUCAACAUACGAACCAACCGGAAAAAAAUCCCCAUCCAAGGUGAAUUUUCUUUUUAACACUUUACUACUGAAAAUUUUAAACAUUUACUUAAGUCGAGAGAGUUGUGAACUGGAUCCUCACCACCUUCAACACUUGUGAACAUGCUGUUGUUUUUAAGCCACAGAGGAUUAUGGUACCUUUUGUUUUUAUGUUUUAGUCAUUUCAGGCUGCUGUAGCACAUUCCCGCUGCCUGGCCCCCGUGGUGGGGAACACUGAUGCCAGAAUGUGUGUGUCUGCUUCUUUGGACAGGUUAUCUGGAAGUCAUGGAUGGUUUCUCUGCGCCUGGAACAAGAAACAAGUCCUCCCAAGAGAGGCGUUCAGUGCAGAUGUGAUGAAUGAAUGAAUACACGUCCCAGAGUGAUAAAACUGCCUUCAAAGAGCUGCUGUUGGACUAAACGUGAAGAAUGUCAUUAAGGUCAGAUGUGGAAAGUGUUUGGGAAAGAAGUAUUGGAUUAUUCUCUGAAUUUCUGUCAAGGAAAAUUUGAUGUUAGUUGGCAUGCCUGACAACAUAGUCCUCAGAUCUUCUCUUUUCUUGAUUUGGAGGAUAUUGGACAGCUGUUGAAAACCUGCAAAAAAAUCCCAAAAGGAAUUUUAUGGUUUUAGGUAUUAUGUUCAAGUCUUCAGUCAUCUUCAGUCAAAGCCCAAAUGAGCAGUGAGAACACAGUGAGAUCCAGCCUGAUCUAAGUAGGAGUCAGCAAACUACGGUCCACAGCCAAAUAUGGCCUGCUGCAUGUUUUUAUAAAUAAAAUUUUAUUGGAACAUGGCCCUGCCCAUUCAUUAUGUAUUGCCCAAUGGCAGAGUUUAUAAGUUGUAACAGAGACCAGAGAGUCUGCAAAGUCUAAAAUAGUUACUACCUACCCCUUUUCCAUCAGGGCUGGCUGUGCUGGGUCACAUGGACCUCACUAAAUCACAGCAAGUCCUUCUCACCCCUCCCCUGCCAAAUUCUUGGAAUUCCGGAGUCAAGAGCAAGAGCACAGCAGUGCCAUGGGACGGACUAUAUGUCCAAUAGUCAAACAUCUUUAAUGAUAAAUGAGUAAUUCUCAGGUUUGUUUUUUCUAAGAUCUUAUUUAUUUGAGAGAGAGAGAGAGAGAGAGAGAGAGGUUCUUUUCUUUGUUGGGAGUUCCUCCUCCUAGUCAUUCUGUUGAGGGGUGGUUGAGGGAAUGUACAGAGUCCUAAAUAUCAACCACAAUCCAGGCAAGAUGCACCAUCGAAACCGUGCUUGUGGAGAUCCAGGUAUAUAUUCUGGAUAUAUAAUAUUAUCUUUCUGCUUGUGGAGAUUCAGAUAUAUAUUCCUACACCUCAGGCUGAUUUCAUGGGUGUUCAGAAUGGUCUGGUAGAUAUCCUCAGGCUGAUUUCAUGGGUGUUCAGAAUGGUCUGGUAGAUAUCCAGCUAAAUUCAGGGGCCUGGUUGAAUCAGAGUCCCCUACUCCUCUGCCAUCUUGCCCCCUCCCGAGAGAGACAGAGAUAGGGAGAGAGCGCACAAGCAGGGUAGGAGGACAGAGAAACAGCCUCCCCGCUGACCAGGGAGCCCAAUGUGGGGCUC
This is a long non-coding RNA of Zalophus californianus (California sea lion), 6209 nucleotides long. RefSeq lists it as uncharacterized. The record is from RefSeq and is a predicted model, not a curated record. Lineage: Eukaryota; Metazoa; Chordata; Mammalia; Carnivora; Otariidae. The transcript has 4 exons.